Molecule: non-coding RNA, 231 nt
Organism: Camellia sinensis
Lineage: Eukaryota; Viridiplantae; Streptophyta; Magnoliopsida; Ericales; Theaceae
Source: RefSeq, a predicted model, not a curated record
GCAAUGUACUGAUGCCUGGUCCUUGUAUUUAUUUGCAAGGAUAGACGGCUUAACAACAACACUUUGUCUGGAACUAUUCCUAUGUCAUUGACUACUAUCAGUUCACUUCAAUCCCUUGAUCUUUCAAACAAUCACUUAACAGGAGUUGUCCCAGUUAAUGGCUCCUUUCAACUUUUUACUUCCAGCAGUUUUCAAAAUAAUAAUUUUACAUUUCCUCCAAACUCCACCGCC